AUGGACAGUGGAUUUUCUUCGUCACUUCCUUUGUUCGUGAAGGAGGAGCCCUCCAUGGCGGACGUGUACAGUGGCCACGAGCUGACGCCGCUGCAGAAGCACGCCGCCUUCUUCGACCAGAACAGGGACGACAUCAUCUACCCCUCGGAGACCUACCAAGGGCUGCACGCCAUCGGGUGCGGCGUCGUCGUGUCCACUGCCGGCGCCGUCUUCAUCAACGGCCUCCACGCGCCCACACUACUAGGGAAAAGCCUAUACACAGAAUCUUACCAGCAGCGCGCCUUCAAGUUUCCAAUCUACGUGAAGACCAUCCAGCAGGGCAAGCAUGGGAGUGACACAGACGUGUACGACACCAACGGAAGGUUCGUUCCUGAGAAGUUUGAGGAGAUAUUCAAGAAGCACGCCCACACCAGGCCUGAUGCGCUAACGAGCAAAGAGCUGGGGGAGAUGCUCAAAGCAAACAGGGACCCUAAAGAUUUCAAAGGACGGGUGGGCGCCUUUGGAGAGUGGAGACUUCUCUACUUUCUGUGCAAAGACAAGGAGGGGUUUCUUCACAAGGAGACUAUGAAGGCGGUCUAUGAUGGCAGCGUGUUUGAGAAGUUGGAGCGAGAAAAGAAGCAGGCUAAGGAAUUUGCCAAGAAGAAAUGA
Molecule: ribosomal RNA, 648 nt
Filed under: Triticum aestivum (bread wheat)
Lineage: Eukaryota; Viridiplantae; Streptophyta; Magnoliopsida; Poales; Poaceae
Description: partial small subunit ribosomal RNA
Source: RNAcentral